Long non-coding RNA from Dinoponera quadriceps, 542 nucleotides. RefSeq lists it as uncharacterized. The record is from RefSeq and is a predicted model, not a curated record. The transcript has 2 exons. Lineage: Eukaryota; Metazoa; Arthropoda; Insecta; Hymenoptera; Formicidae.
CGCCUGUUACAGUUGUCCGCGAUUAAGCGGCCGGCCGUGGUUUUUAUGCCCGCGCGAAUAUAAUUUCACGGAGCGAGAUUGUGCGCGAUCCUAAUCGCUUUUUCUACAUCGCACAGUUGCGAAGUGUCGGCGAGGCAACGUUCAAAUAGUUCCCGAGGUCACGCCAUUGCGAGGUUACGCAUUGUAAGAACGAAGGGCCGGGGUUUCCCAUGCGUGCGAUCAAGAUGAAGCUAAUCUCCUUCCUCUUACUGCUAUUUGUCGGCUCCGUCCUCUCAGCGUCCUGGCUUGAUCUGUGGUUUCCCGGGCAAUCCUCGUAUAACGGGGGAAAUGAUCCGCAUCGGCAGUACCGUGAAGGAAGAGGCGGCGGUAAGGAACGCUGGAAGCAGAUCUGCAGAACGAUAAAUGUCGAUCCUUAUGCGUAUCCAGGACGCGUGCCUUAUCCCGCCGCGCUCGUCUGUCCGUGGUAGAGAAAACUCUCCAUAGGUGGAACAGAAAAUAACGAUGACGAUGAAAACGACGUUAAAACGAUAAGAAAAAAAAAA